Molecule: ribosomal RNA, 506 nt
Filed under: uncultured bacterium
Lineage: Bacteria
Description: partial 16S ribosomal RNA
Rfam family: Bacterial small subunit ribosomal RNA
Source: RNAcentral
AUUGAACGCUGGCGGCAGGCCUAACACAUGCAAGUCGAACGGCAGCACAGAAGAGCUUGCUCUUUGGGUGGCGAGUGGCGGACGGGUGAGUAACGUCUGGGAAACUGCCCGAUGGAGGGGGAUAACUACUGGAAACGGUAGCUAAUACCGCAUAACGUCGCGAGACCAAAGUGGGGGACCUUCGGGCCUCACACCAUCGGAUGUGCCCAGAUGGGAUUAGCUAGUAGGUGGGGUAAUGGCUCACCUAGGCGACGAUCCCUAGCUGGUCUGAGAGGAUGACCAGCCACACUGGAACUGAGACACGGUCCAGACGCCUACGGGAGGCAGCAGUGGGGAAUAUUGCACAAUGGGCGCAAGCCUGAUGCAGCCAUGCCGCGUGUAUGAAGAAGGCCUUCGGGUUGUAAAGUACUUUCAGCGGGGAGGAAGGCGGUGAGGUUAAUAACCUCGCCGAUUGACGUUACCCGCAGAAGAAGCACCGGCUAACUCCGUGCCAGCCGCCGCCGUAA